AGAUUGAACGCUGGCGGCGUGCUUAACACAUGCAAGUCGAGCGGUAACGCGGGAGCAAUCCUGGCGACGAGCGGCGAACGGGUGAGUAAUGCUUGGGAAUCUGCCCAUUAGUGGGGAACAACCAGCCGAAAGGUUGGCUAAUACCGCAUACGCCCUACGGGGGAAAGCGGGGGAUCGUAAGACCUCGCGCUAAUGGAUGAGCCCAAGUCGGAUUAGCUUGUUGGUAGGGUAACGGCCUACCAAGGCGACAAUCCGUAGCUGGUCUGAGAGGACGACCAGCCACACUGGGACUGAGACACGGCCCAGACUCCUACGGGAGGCAGCAGUGGGGAAUAUUGGACAAUGGGGGCAACCCUGAUCCAGCGACGCCGCGUGUGUGAAGAAGGCCUGCGGGUUGUAAAGCACUUUUAGUGGGAUGAAAAGCUCAGGGUUAACACCUCUGGGUCUUGACCUAACCACAGAAAAGCACCGGCUAACUCUGUGCCAGCAGCCGC
Molecule: ribosomal RNA, 494 nt
Filed under: uncultured bacterium
Lineage: Bacteria
Description: SSU rRNA
Rfam family: Bacterial small subunit ribosomal RNA
Source: RNAcentral